Molecule: long non-coding RNA, 1889 nt
Organism: Oncorhynchus keta (chum salmon)
Lineage: Eukaryota; Metazoa; Chordata; Actinopteri; Salmoniformes; Salmonidae
Exons: 10
Source: RefSeq, a predicted model, not a curated record
UGUGUGUGUGUGUGUGUGUGUGUGUGUGUGUGUGUAUGUCUGUGUGUGUGUGUGUGUGUGUGUCUCCAUGACAGAUUGUGCUCCUCGCCCCAACAGAGGAUUAAAAGGGCUGAGCUCAUGGAUGGAUCACAUCUCCAGUAUUUCAUUAACUCAGAGACAUGUGUGGACAAUACACGAUUCAUUCAUUAACUCAGAGACAGGUGUGGACAAUACACGAUUCAUUCAUUAACUCAGAGACACGUGUGGACAAUACACGAUUCAUUCAUUAACUCAGAGACAGGUGUGGACAAUACACGAUUCAUUCAUUAACUCAGAGACACGUGUGGACAAUACACGAUUCAUUCAUUAACUCAGAGACAGGUGUGGACAAUACACGAUUCAUUCAUUAACUCAGAGACAGGUGUGGACAAAACACGAUUCAUUCAUUAACUCAGAGACAGGUGUGGACAAUACACGAUUCAUUCAUUAACUCAGAGACAGGUGUGGACAAUACACGAUUCAUUCAUUAACUCAGAGACAGGUGUGGACAAUACACGAUUCAUUCAUUAACUCAGAGACAGGUGUGGACAAUACACGAUUCAUUCAUUAACUCAGAGACACGUGUGGACAAUACACGAUUCAUUCAUUAACUCAGAGACAGGUGUGGACAAUACACGAUUCAUUCAUUAACUCAGAGACAGGUGUGGACAAUACACGAUUCAUUCAUUAACUCAGAGACACGUGUGGACAAUACACGAUUCAUUCAUUAACUCAGAGACAGGUGUGGACAAUACACGAUUCAUUCAUUAACUCAGAGACACGUGUGGACAAUACACGAUUCAUUCAUUAACUCAGAGACAGGUGUGGACAAUACACGAUUCAUUCAUUAACUCAGAGACAGGUGUGGACAAUACACGAUUCAUUCAUUAACUCAGAGACAGGUGUGGACAAUACACGAUUCAUUCAUUAACUCAGAGACACGUGUGGACAAUACACGAUUCAUUCAUUAACUCAGAGACAGGUGUGGACAAUACACGAUUCAUUCAUUAACUCAGAGACAGGUGUGGACAAUACACGAUUCAUUCAUUAACUCAGAGACACGUGUGGACAAUACACGAUUCAUUCAUUAACUCAGAGACAGGUGUGGACAAUACACGAUUCAUUCAUUAACUCAGAGACAGGUGUGGACAAUACACGAUUCAUUCAUUAACUCAGAGACAGGUGUGGACAAUACACGAUUCAUUCAUUAACUCAGAGACGGGUGUGGACAAUACACGAUUCAUUCAUUAACUCAGAGACAGGUGUGGACAAUACACGAUUCAUUCAUUAACUCAGAGACAGGUGUGGACAAUACACGAUUCAUUCAUUAACUCAGAGACAGGUGUGGACAAUACACGAUUCAUUCAUUAACUCAGGGACAGGUGUGGACAAUACACGAUUCAUUCAUUAACUCAGAGACAGGUGUGGACAAUACACGAUUCAUUCAUUAACUCAGAGACAGGUGUGGACAAUACACGAUUCAUUCAUUAACUCAGAGACAGGUGUGGACAAUACACGAUUCAUUCAUUAACUCAGAGACAGGUGUGGACAAUACACGAUUCAUUCAUUAACUCAGAGACAGGUGUGGACAAUACACGAUUCAUUCAUUAACUCAGAGACAGGUGUGGACAAUACACGAUUCAUUCAUUAACUCAGAGACAGUUGUCAGUAAAAGUGGCUCAUCAAUCGGAACAAAUGGGAGAGAUACAAGCUUCAACACAACUAGAUUGUAAAACAUGGAUUAAUUUCUCAAUAUAGUAUGUACUUAUUAUGAGCAUGGUAACACCCUGUAGGACAUCGGAAAGAGGUGUAAUGGGACACCUUGAUCUGCGUCCCAAACUGCACCCUAUUCCCUACAUAGGGCACUACUU